UAUGGUAAUUGUGUGCCCCGCGGUAAUACGUAGGGGGCUAGCGUUAUCCGGAAUUACUGGGCGUAAAGGGUGCGUAGGUGGUUUCUUAAGUCAGAGGUGAAAGGCUACGGCUCAACCGUAGUAAGCCUUUGAAACUGGGAAACUUGAGUGCAGGAGAGGAGAGUGGAAUUCCUAGUGUAGCGGUGAAAUGCGUAGAUAUUAGGAGGAACACCAGUUGCGAAGGCGGCUCUCUGGACUGUAACUGACACUGAGGCACGAAAGCGUGGGGAGCAAACAGG
Molecule: ribosomal RNA, 278 nt
Filed under: Romboutsia timonensis
Lineage: Bacteria; Bacillati; Bacillota; Clostridia; Peptostreptococcales; Peptostreptococcaceae
Description: partial 16S ribosomal RNA
Rfam family: Bacterial small subunit ribosomal RNA
Source: RNAcentral